GACGAACGCUGGCGGCGUGCCUAAUACAUGCAAGUCGAGCGAGACCUUUUAAAAGCUUGCUUUUGAAAGGUUAGCGGCGGACGGGUGAGUAACACGUGGGCAACCUGCCCUAUAGUUUGGGAUAACUCCGGGAAACCGGGGCUAAUACCGGAUAAUACAAUUUAACUCCUGUUAGAUUGUUGAAAGAUGGUUUCGGCUAUCGCUAUAGGAUGGGCCCGCGGCGCAUUAGCUAGUUGGUAGGGUAACGGCCUACCAAGGCGACGAUGCGUAGCCGACCUGAGAGGGUGAUCGGCCACACUGGGACUGAGACACGGCCCAGACUCCUACGGGAGGCAGCAGUAGGGAAUCUUCCACAAUGGACGAAAGUCUGAUGGAGCAACGCCGCGUGAGUGAAGAAGGUUUUCGGAUCGUAAAACUCUGUUGUAAGGGAAGAACAAGUACAGUAGUAACUGGCUGUACCUUGACGGUACCUUAUUAGAAAGCCACGGCUAACUACGUGCA
Molecule: ribosomal RNA, 501 nt
Filed under: Solibacillus silvestris
Lineage: Bacteria; Bacillati; Bacillota; Bacilli; Caryophanales; Caryophanaceae
Description: bacterial SSU rRNA
Rfam family: Bacterial small subunit ribosomal RNA
Source: RNAcentral